CGAGGCCGAAAGGCGUAGGUGAUGGACAACUGGUUGAUAUUCCAGUACCACUACCAUCGUUAUUAUCGAUGGCGUGACGCAGGAGGAUAGUGUGUGCUAGCUAUUGGAUGCUAGUCUAAGCGUUUAGGCAGUGAGAGUAGGCAAAUCCGCUCUCAUAAUGCUGAGGCGUGAUGGGGAAGGUUCUACGGAACCGAAGUACAUGAUUCCACGCUGCCAAGAAAAGCGUCUAGAGAGAGAAGUAGUGCCCGUACCGCAAACCGACACAGGUAGGUGAGGAGAGAAUCCUAAGGCCGGCGGAAGAAUUACAGUUAAGGAACUCGGCAAAUUGACCCCGUAAGUUCGCGAGAAGGGGUGCCUACGAGAGUAGGCCGCAGAGAAUAGGCCCAAGCAACUGUUUAGCAAAAACACAGGUCUCUGCUAAAGCGUAAGCUGAUGUAUAGGGGCUGACGCCUGCCCGGUGCUGGAAGGUUAAGGGGAACACUUAGCGCAAGCGAAGGUGUGAACUUAAGCCCCAGUAAACGGCGGCCGUAACUAUAACGGUCCUAAGGUAGCGAAAUUCCUUGUCAGGUAAGUUCUGACCCGCACGAAUGGCGUAAUGACUUGGGCACUGUCUCAACUGUAAAUCCGGCGAAGUUGUAGUGCGAGUGAAGAUGCUCGCUACCCGCGAUUGGACGGAAAGACCCCGUAGAGCUUUACUGUAGCUUAGCAUUGAGUUUUGGUAUUGUCUGUACAGGAUAGGUGGGAGACUAGGAAACCAGGGCGUCAGCCUUGGUGGAGUCAACCUUGGGAUACCACCCUGACAGUACUGAAAUUCUAACUGGCGGCCAUGAAUCUGGUCACAGGACAUUGUUAGGUGGGCAGUUUGACUGGGGCGGUCGCCUCCUAAAAAGUAACGGAGGCGCCCAAAGGUUCCCUCAGAACGGUCGGAAAUCGUUCGAAGAGUGCAAAGGCAGAAGGGAGCCUGACUGCGACACCCACAAGUGGAGCAGGGACGAAAGUCGGGCUUAGUGAUCCGGUGGUACCUCGUGGGAGGGCCAUCGCUCAACGGAUAAAAGCUACCUCGGGGAUAACAGGCUGAUCUCCCCCAAGAGUCCACAUCGACGGGGAGGUUUGGCACCUCGAUGUCGGCUCGUCGCAUCCUGGGGCUGAAGUAGGUCCCAAGGGUUGGGCUGUUCGCCCAUUAAAGCGGCACGCGAGCUGGGUUCAGAACGUCGUGAGACAGUUCGGUCCCUAUCCGUCGCGGGCGUAGGAAAUUUGAGAGGAGCUGUCCUUAGUACGAGAGGACCGGGAUGGACUGACCUCUGGUGUACCAGUUGUUCCGCCAGGAGCACAGCUGGGUAGCUAAGUCGGGAAUGGAUAAACGCUGAAAGCAUCUAAGCGUGAAGCCAACCUCAAGAUGAGAUUUCCCAUAGCGUAAGCUAGUAAGAUCCCUUGAAGAACACAAGGUUGAUAGGUCGGGGGUGUAAGCAUGGUAACAUGUUCAGCUGACCGAUACUAAUAGAUCG
RNAcentral lists this ribosomal RNA (1505 nucleotides) under Clostridium perfringens. RNAcentral describes it as "partial 23S ribosomal RNA". It matches the Rfam family "Bacterial large subunit ribosomal RNA", at positions 1397 to 2911 of the family's 2925-position model. Lineage: Bacteria; Bacillati; Bacillota; Clostridia; Eubacteriales; Clostridiaceae. The record is from RNAcentral.